Molecule: ribosomal RNA, 372 nt
Filed under: uncultured organism
Description: partial 16S ribosomal RNA
Rfam family: Bacterial small subunit ribosomal RNA
Source: RNAcentral
GUAGGUGGCAAGCGUCGUCCGGAAUUAUUGGGCGUAAAGCGCGCGCAGGCGGUUCUUUAAGUCUGAUGUGAAAGCCCACGGGCUCAACCGUGGAGGGUCAUUGGAAACUGGAGAACUUGAGUACAGAAGAGGAAAGCGGAAUUCCACGUGUAGCGGUGAAAUGCGUAGAGAUGUGGAGGAACACCAGUGGCGAAGGCGGCUUUCUGGUCUGUAACUGACGCUGAGGCGCGAAAGCGUGGGGAGCAAACAGGAUUAGAUACCCUGGUAGUCCACGCCGUAAACGAUGAGUGCUAAGUGUUAGGGGGUUUCCGCCCCUUAGUGCUGCAGCUAACGCAUUAAGCACUCCGCCUGGGGAGUACGGCCGCAAGGCUG